GCUUUCAUGCUCACUUGGUUUCCAUAGACGCAGAGAAAACCCCCGCGACCCGGGUUCGAAUCCCGGCGGGAGCA
This 74-nucleotide transfer RNA is filed under the name Promethearchaeota archaeon. RNAcentral's name for it is "Candidatus Lokiarchaeota archaeon tRNA-OTHER". Lineage: Archaea; Promethearchaeati; Promethearchaeota. The record is from RNAcentral.